This 328-nucleotide unclassified non-coding RNA is filed under the name plant metagenome. RNAcentral describes it as "partial contains 5.8S ribosomal RNA, internal transcribed spacer 2, and large subunit ribosomal RNA". The stretch from base 1 to 104 matches the Rfam family "5.8S ribosomal RNA", at positions 50 to 154 of the family's 154-position model. The record is from RNAcentral.
GAAAUGCGAUAAGUAAUGUGAAUUGCAGAAUUCCGUGAAUCAUCGAAUCUUUGAACGCACAUUGCGCCCUCUGGUAUUCCGGGGGCAUGCCUGUCCGAGCGUCAUUGCGAACCCCUCAAGCACGGCUUGUGUGAUGGGCCCUCCCGCGGCUUGGUCGUCAAGACGGGCCCGGAAAGCAGUGGCGGCUUCGCGGUUAUCCGAUCAGCCAGAGCGUAUGGGGACUUUCUCUCUGUCACACGCCCGCGGCGCGGACCGACGCCUGUCGACUUUUAUUCAUCUUUUUCUCGGUUGACCUCGGAUCAGGUAGGGAUACCCGCUGAACUUAAGC